UUUGAUUCUCUUUAGAGAUAAAUAGAAAAAGUGUGUGUGUGUUUGUGUGUAUAAGAGAGAGAGAGUGUAUAAGAGAGAGAGAUGCUGAGAAUGGUGGGAGCUCUUGUUGUUGGUAAUGGUAAUUACAGUGGUGCAAAUGUUGUGUAUAAUUAUCCCAUGAGUUUAUUGGUGCUUUGCAUGGUUAUGGCAUCUUUAGUGGUGAUCGCCAUGGCCAUUUUUGCUUGUGGAGAUGAUGCUUCAAGUGAAGGCUCCAGCAAACGGCAUGGUGUUAACCCUGCGGCCGAUUUCAAUGGCGGUAGUGGCAAAGGCGGUGGUGAAAACAGUGGCAACUAAUUAAUUAGGUUGUGGAGAAUGCUCGCUAGUAGCGGUUGCAGUGGCAAUGUAAUUUAGUUUAUUAAAAAUAGUGUUCGCUUUGUGUAAUUGGCUAGUCCCGAAUAUCUUAUUUGCUUAAAUAGAAUUGUUCUUUGAGUGUAAUAAGAUGUGAAUGAGUAUUGCUUGUUGUCGAUUAUGAGCUAUUGUCUCAAUAUUUUUUAAAAAGUACUUUUGUUGUGUAGUAAUAGUGGUGAUUUUUUUGCAUAGAAGAGUACUAACGUACUUUUCUGAUUGUAUAUAUACUAGUAUAAAUUCAUAGAUUGAGUUCAUUUUGUAAACAAUUUUGUGUAGUACAGCUGGUAAGUAAAAAUAGAUUAUACAAAUUAAACAGUUUUUCUACAAAGAAUAAGUGGAUCCUCAUUUGUGAAUCUACUUUGUCAUUGAUCUAGAUCUGUCCAUGUCAAUAUGCUAUGAUGAAAGUUAAUUAAGCUAAUGUGGAUUAUUCUCAAGUAAACAGUAAAAAGGUGUAAUGUGCUUCUACAGCAACAACCAAAAAAAAGAAGAAGAGAAAUUUAAUUAAAUAAAUUUGGUAGUUCUUCUCUGAGUAAUUUCAAUUAAACAAUGCUUAUAUGAGACUCUAUCUAGUGCAAACGAGCCGUUAUUUAUUUACUUAUUUAUUUAGACAUUAAUUACAAGCUAUAAAAGGGCUUCUAUAUAGGAGGUUGUAGGAUUUUUUUUCUUUUUUUCUCCUUUUCUUUUUAAUCUCAAAAUAAAAAAAAAAAACCUAUGUGGAUUUUCCACAGCAGCGAAACAUUGAUCGUACGGAAUUUAAUUUUUAAUUUAACAAAAAGGGUCAUUGAUUGAGAUUCCAAAUGGUAACAUGCAUGCGAAAUGACUUUGGGCCAAAAGGAACCAAUUGGGUGCAAUACGUGUACUAGGAUCACAAGGAAUUUUCUAGAAAAGUAGCGUGGCCUAAUUUAAAAUUGCUUUCCUUGGACACUGCAAUAAAUGUAUAAAAACGAACCAAAAGGACCGCACAAGAACAUGACAGGGCUAAAUCAUGUCAUAGAUAAAGUUAGGGAAAACUUCAAAAAACCCCCUGUGGUUUCGUAGUUUCUCACUUUGCCCCCCUAUGGUUUAAAGUAUAUCAAUUUGCCUCCCUGUGGUUUCGUUUUUAUCUUUUCGGUAGCUUUUUCGUUAAUAUUUCGUUAAAUUAUAUACAAAAAACUUUAGAUACCCAUCUAGAUUUAUCAAAUAUUCACUUUAGUACCCUUUAAUUUUAACUUUAUUACUGAUUUAAGAAAAGAAAAUAAUGAAAUUGAUAAGAAAAAGAGAAAAACAAAACCACAGGGGGGCAAAUUAAUAUAUUUUAAACCACAGGGGGGCAAAGUGAGAAACUACGAAACCACAGGGGGGGUUUUUGAAGUUUUCCCAUAAAGUUAUUUAUAAGAAGAAGCAUUGUGAUGGAUUUACUAUCUUAUAAUAAAAAUUUCUGCAAGUGAAAAAUUGUUUAAAAUAUAAAAUAUAUUGUAAUUAUUGGUGAAAAAGAUUGACACAUAUUAUACAGAUAAUCAAUUAAUUUGUCCUGAUAUCAUUGUUUGGAUAAUUUUUUGUUUGUUUUAUUUUGCGAAUAAGAUGGAUAAUGAUGAAUUGUCAAGGGAUUAAUAUGCAAAUGAUAUUAUGGGUGGGAUUGUUAUUAUUAUUAUUAUUAUUUAGGUUAAAGCAAAUCAGUAAGGAAGCGUAAUCUCUAUGUUACAACUUAAUUAUUAAUAAUAACAUAACAUAAAGUCUUCGCGUUGAAAGCUCCCAACCAUCUUUUCCGGACAAAAAUUGUAUGGGCAUCCUCCCCAAACUAAAAGUUUGGGGAGGAUGUGGAUGGGCGCCGCAUGGCCCGCGCGCGUCCAUCCUCGCCCUCCUCUCCCCUCUGCCAACUUCUCUCUCUCUCUAAAAAACGGAGCUCAUAAUUAUUUUUUUUUUUGGGUUUCCGAGGGUUGCGAUGGGCGCUGCGCCGCACUGCAUCAUCCCCAAACAACUUGUUUGGGGACGAUGCCCAGAAAAUUUUUGCCCCUCUUUUCCUUACUCCAAAAUGCUCUUUUUUUUUUCUUUUUUUUUUUCUCCUCUAAUCCCCACACCCACUACUAUUGAAUUAAACAAAGAAAAAAAAAUAAAAAAAGAGAGAUUUUUUACUUAGACUUAAUUUUGUAUUGAGAUCUAUCAAACAUUAUUAUAUAAAAUAAAGUUAAAAAAAAUAUAUAAAAAUAUAUUUCUGUGUUCUUCGAUAAUACUGCAGAAAAUAUAUCGUAACCGACUCAUCGCGAAAUACUAAACGUAAUAUUACGUAUGAAAAUAAAAAAUAUUUUCUAACGUACUUUCUCAUCGCACGUAACCUAAUCUUCCCGCAAUCCUAAAACAAACCUUAAAUUUAAAUAUCUCUCUUCUUUUGCCAAUCUCACGCGAUAUCCGAAACCCUAAACCUAGAAAUCCACCUUCGACAAGUUCGACCCUUUCUUUUUUUCCUCUUUUCUUUCCGCACAAAAAGGUCGGUCGUCUCCUCUCUCUCUCUCUCUCUCUCUCUCUCUCCCCUCCUCCCCCCCCUCUACGUUCCCAUCAAACCCUAGAAUCCCUGAUCCCCCUUCUCCAAAAUCGUCCAUUCUGACAUCUGUGUUGUGUUGAUUCGCAGAGAGAGAGAGAGAGAGAGAGAGAGAGAGAGAGAGGGGAAGAGGACCUCUGAAGAAACCCUAGGCGAUGGAUCAGAAGAGCCACGGGACCCCUCCUCCGGUGAUCGGCGUCGGAACACCGGUGGCCUACCCCGCGGCCGCCGCGGCCGCGCCCUACCAAGCGUACCACCACCUCUACCAGCAGCAGCAGCAGCAGCAGCAGCAGCAACAGCAGCAGCUGCAGCUCUUCUGGGCGGAUCAGUACCGCGAGAUCGAGCAGACCACCGAUUUCAAGAACCACAACCUCCCCCUCGCGCGCAUAAAGAAGAUCAUGAAGGCCGACGAGGACGUGCGCAUGAUCGCCGCCGAGGCGCCCGUCGUGUUCGCCCGCGCCUGCGAGAUGUUCAUCCUGGAGCUCACCCACCGCGGCUGGGCCCACGCCGAGGAGAACAAGCGCCGCACCCUGCAGAAGAGCGACAUCGCCGCCGCCAUCGCCCGGACCGACGUCUUCGACUUCCUCGUCGACAUCGUGCCCAGGGAGGAGGGUAAGGACGAUUCCAUCCCCCGGCCCAUCGGCGCCCCCGCCGCCGAUCCCCUCACCUACUACUACGUCCAGCAGCCCCCGCCCCCGCAAAUGUGAGUCCUCAUAUCACCUCCGCUGCGCCUGUCCAUGUCUCUGUUCGUUGCAUGUGAUGGUUAGCCCUUAAUUUGCGAUUAUUUUGGAUGGGGAUGGCUUUAUCGCUUUUGGCUGUGUGAUCUAUCUUGCAGUAUAAUUAUCCUACUAAUAUAUUUGCUUGCUGUGACUGUUGGGAUCAUAUUAUAUAUGUUUUAUUGAUUUCAUCUAAUGAGAGUUAAAAAAAAAUAAAAAAUAACUAGUUGUAAAUUAUGUAGGAUUUGGAUCUUUUGUUGGAUCUUUUGGUGGAUCAUGUGUCAUGCUCAUGUAUCGUGUUUGCAGUUUCUGUGUUUCUUGAUGUAAAUGGGUCUCGAACUUCCUUGUAGAAAUUUUGAUCGAGGAUUGCCUGUUAUUCGUCGCUCCUUUAUUCGUUGUUGUUAAGAAACAAGAGAAAUGAGAAUUGAGAAUGGGGAUUUUGUGAAUUAUCUGGAGAGUACACUUAAGCGGAUCAGCUGAAUAUCAAUCUGACCACUUCAUCAGUUUGUUGCUAUAUUUUCUUACUUUCUCAUCCAAAUCAAGCCACCUUCUUUUCUUUGUGAGUUGUUACUUCCAAAACCUUGACUAAUUGAAGAAUGGUUAAAUCUAAAAGACGGGAUUUCGUUGAUUCCCUUCUGCAUUAGCAUAUCGAAAUUUGAGAUAUUCGCUUUAAGUUUUUGCUGCUUUACCCGUCCUUAAACAGCAGUACUGCUGUUGUUGUUUGGCGGUUGGUGAUGUCUUCAUAUGUACAUGGUAAUUUUGGGGUUAUAGUUAAGUUAUUUUUGGGGUUAUAGACUUUUAAGUCUUUAACAAAUGUUCUUUCUAAUAAGAGGUCAGAUGUCAUUUUGAUGUCUUACUUCUGUGAUUUUUGCAAUAUCGUGAUUUUGAUUCUGAUAUUUCUCUGCUUUGAAAGUUGUAUCGGAAUCAAAAUUUCCAGAUGCAACAUUCUAAAAAAAUUGAGUGAGGAAGUAAGCUUUGAAACUUUUGUUAGGUAGAUAAAUGGUGCAUCAGAGUUUGUUGGGGUAAAUGAAGUAGUUAAAAAGCAGUGUAAACACUGGAAAAGGAUUGCAGCGCCAAGAGUUUUCUGAGGAUCUAUCAAGCACCAUUAAGAAUUCUUCAAGGAUCUUUCAUUUCCUCUGGACAAGAUUCCUUUGAGAUCUCAGCUUAUUCAAUCAAUAGUAAUUUUAAGGUUCUUUAAUGAUUAAGGAGCAGGUUUACUGGGCUCGAACAGGAUGUAAUGGUGUAAAAGUAGAGGUUCAGGCGGCAAACGAAGGAAUCAAUACAUGCAGCUCAGGUGGGGUAGCCAUUAAUUCCAUUAUGUGAAGUGAUCUAGUUUGUUGUUGUUCCGUUUGAUCUAUCGAUUCAGGUCUUUUGGGGGCUAUCUUUCAGUUUUUUGGGAUGAAAGAAUGAUCAUGAUUUGCGGUUGUUGUGUGCUUGCUUCUUUAGUUGUUUGGUUGUUUGAUCUCUCCAUCCGGUCAAUCAUUCAUUGAUUAAUGUGCUUUAACUUAAUUUGGGCCCUGCAGUCCUCGUCUCUUCUUCUGCAUCCUUGCUCUUCUUUGGGCUUUAAUCUUUAAUCUUGGAGAUUUAUUUUUAAGUUCUGAUUUGCUAGCUUCCUUGGCAUCUUUGGUUUUGCUCAGUAGGAGUUUCCUUGACACUCCUUGUUAGUUAUUCUAUGCAGAUAUAUUCUGUGAAUGAUGCUCUAACACCUUGCACUUCAUUUGUGGUGAAUUUGUGCAUCUUUGGAAGACUUUUUUGCAGGUUUUAUUAUUUAUUUGACACAGUUUGAUUUGUGAAUGAAGUUGCGAAGUUGUGGAUGAUUUUGAGAAUUUACUAUUGACUUCUCGACAGUUUUUUUUUUUCUUUCAAAUUUCCAUUUUAUUUUGGGUAUGAUUUGUGUGAAGCAACUUAGAGAACCAUCAGAUGCAUCGGAGAAUCUGUUGUUGAUUUUUCUGUGGUUUUCAUUGUGAGUCCAGGGGAAAAUUUGGGAACCUGCUGUUGAUUUCUCUUAGAUUUCUUCUUAAGACAUUGUAUUGUUCUUAAUUUAGUAAAUCUAUUGUCCAUCCCCUGUGCCAAACAUAUAUAUUCGUCUCCUUUUUCGCUUCAAUAUUUUAUUCUCUCUUUCCUAUUAACUGGAUUGAUGCCAGGCUCAUCUUGCUUUCCAGAUUCAUCAGUGAUAUCUCAUACACUUUCUUAUAUACCCUAAUCUAUUAAAUAUUCUGCCAUCAAAGCCUCCAUGUAUAGCCCAUGUUCUUCGCAAUGACCAUGUAUAGCCUAUGUUCUUCGCAAUGACCAUGUAUAGCCUAUGUUCUUCGCAAUGACAAUUAAUCUUCCGAAAAUGCUUGGCGGUGACUGGGGCCUUUGAUGUCUGAGUUUCUUGGAUAUUAUGGAGGCGCUUAUCAUGCGUGGACGCUAAUGGAAGUUGCCAGCAAGAGCUUUAUAAAACUGAACUUUUUAACCAUACACACUCAGCUUCGGUAUAUUAUACUGUCUCCAAAAUCAUACUAGAAAUUUAACUCUUUUUUACUUUUUCUUCUUUUCUUUAUGGCUUCAAAUCCCUAUUACUACUAAGAUCUCAAAAGGCAAGCACCGUCACAUACCAAUAUUACAUAAAUAUACUAUCAACUCCCUCUUGGCAAUUAAGAAAACAAACAAAAUGCAAACUUAGGCAAAACCUAAUAUGGCUCACUUCCCUCAAAGCAAACAUAUAAGCAGAAACUCUUCAAUAGCAGAACGCACAUAUAUAUUAACCUUAGGAACGUCCUUUGGUGCUGGUGCUGAUGGCCAGCAUGGAAGUCUGGGGGCAUCAGCCAGCAUGUCUGAUUCCGAAAGGCAGACGGAAUAUUGGUGAUAAGAGGGCUUAACGGCUUCUAACAUGUUUUUAGUUUACCCCCUUGUCUUGGCUCUCUUCAUGCCGGGACUGUUGUGAAAGGGGGAGACCGAACCCGACAUGUGAAUUCCUUCCUCACGGAGCGUGCCGUUGAGCAAGGCGAGCUCCCUAAGCUGCUGCUUCUUGAAGAAAUCGUGUGAUUCAUCCUGUAUGCAGAAAGAGUGAACAUACAAGUGAAUAUAAAUCUAAAAUUGACCACCAACCAUCCGUAGUGCAAGUGACAAAAUACUUAAUGGUUAGUACUCGAGAUCUUAAGUUUGAAACAUUGUUGCUUCACAUUUUCAACUAUAAGUUUAUUUAUAAACAAAAUGAACAAAGCAGGUAACAUAUUACCUUUCUCUCUCUCUCUAAAAAAAAAGACCUAUUUCUGUAAUAGCAAUUCUACUUGGGUUAGAAACUUUAGGAGCUUCUAGUUGGGAUGGAAACCUAAAUUUAGCUUUGAAACCCCAAAAGAAGUUUCACCUUUACCCACAGAGAGAAGCUGUUUAGGGAAUUUAAUUGAAAAAUGUUAGGCUUUCUUGAAAAUUUGUACUGCAGCAGCUGUUCUACAAAAGUACCAGCCAAGCUAAUACAUAAGUAAUAGAGCAACUGUGGUAAAGCGCAUAUUAGAACAUACCAUAGGCUUGAGCAGAUCUUCAAGGAUAUCCCGAGCUUGCAUCAGACGAGCAUCAAUAAUUUCAGCGGGUAGCUCUGCCUCAACCAAUAUGUGAAGGGGUUCGUUCAGAUGUUCAUACCCUGGUUUUCCUCUCAUCAUCUCCUCCUAUCGAGCAGAAAGAAUGUGUAGAUGAAAAACAAUGAUAUUUUACAGUUAUUAUUUUCCCACUUUAGCAACAAGAGGUAUUUCCUGCCCACCCCUUGAAUGAACCAACAUGUUCACCCAAAAUCAGAAAAAUAAAAGAUCCUAUACCCUGUCAUUUCUUGUGCUAGACUAGAGAAAUACAAAGAGUUAUGUCACGGUUGAUUGACGUGGCCAAGGAUGUUCAACAGAGAACGCAAGAUAACAGAUGAGUAGCUUUAUUUCAGUAAGGAGGCAUAAAGCGUGGGACAAAGACUUAAAAAUGAUAUGAGAGUAUAUAAUGUGAAAAAUCAUGAUGACACUUUCUGUUUUGGAAAAACCUUGCUGGGACAACUGUAUGGCAAAGAGAGAUUUAUAUAGCUAUCUCCGGAGAGUCCAGGGCCAAAGAAAAUGACAAUUAUUGGUUUACUAGCCAGGCUGUCAAGCUCCCAAGGGGGUAAAUUUAAGAUCACCUCUUACAUAGAAGCCAUGACGCCAACUCAAUUACACCAUCACGACAUACCUCCAAGAAGUUGAUGUGAUGUAUAAUGAUAUGUGUGGCAAAAGUUGAUGCAAGAUGUAUAUAAAAGCAUAUAUUUAACCAAUAGGGAAGCAUGGCUAUUACCCUGGCUGGAUCUUUGAUGCUGCCCUGACCUCUUAUUAGAACACGACAAUCAGUAGUUGCCUCAACUCGCUUAAGUGAAUUUCCUCUAGGACCCAGGAGGCGGCCAACAAAGUUGUACUAGGAUAUAAGAGAAAAGAAAAUCACAAGAGGUAAAAGUUUGAGAGUAAACAAGAGUUUUUUUUUAAAAAAAAGUUAACUACUUACUGUUGGAUACUUGUCUACAGGAAUAUCAACCUUGAUGGUUUUCUUGACAAUGAGACCUGAGGAGUUACUUUGGGACCCGAGCCAAUUGUGAGCAGAUGAAGGCUGCAAAAAUCCCCACAUCUGCAUGUUAUAACUAAAAGUUGCUACAAAAAGCUGCAUUUAUUAGGAUAUCUUCGACAUAUAGUGCUUGUUUGGUUGAUGAGGCAUGAAAGUUUAAAAUAUUUAGACAAAUAGUUUUGAGUUACAAUUGAUAUAUAGUACAUUAAUCACUUGAAGGAGAUGCAUGCAUUAAAAGGAUACAACCAGAACCUCUGCUCAUUCAUGAUGUGCAUUUAUUGAUUUGGGAAAAUGGACAAAUGUCCCUGGAACUAUGAAUCUAUGAUCCAGUAGUAGUCAGUCCCCGUAAGUCAAAUUCUGGAAUUUGACUUCAAAAAGGAAUAGAAUUUUACCAUUAAACAAAUUGGAAUGUUCUAUAAUACAUACCAGUUAAAUAUCAAAAUCAGAAGUUACGUUCACCGUAAAAAUGGAGCAAAAGUUUGAAGGAAUAUUUAAGAUGCCCUCUCAUAGCUGUAGGUUGACUGAAUUAUCUCCAUAAUGCAAUUGAAGUUUGCAGUAUGUGAUACACAGCCGAUGUAUAGAGCUUGCGCCAAGGUUACGAGCACCAAAGUUACAACUAAUCAAGCUAACAUAAGAAAUACUAAACCCAGCUACUCUAUGAAAGUUAUGUGCAAUAUAGAUUAACCACCCUCUAACAGAUCAGUUCACGUAGACACCUUAGUAUAGUCAACUCACCGGGAAAACACUACUCACAACUCGGCAAUCGUAGUUAUAGAAUGUAAUGUUGUAUAGUACAUGGAGAUUUUGAUGUUAGCAUUGCAGUUAAUCCAAUAUUGGUAAACUAUUAAGGCUAAAUAUAAAUUUAGAGAGGUCAAACAGACCAAGUGAGCAUAGCAACUCCGGAACUACGAAGCUAGCGUAACAAGCAAAAAAAUUGUAAGGAUCAAAAAAAGUUCAUAGGAAGUUAAUUUCAGUUAGAAUGAAACCUACACAUCUCCAGAGCGGUAAAUUAGGCACUACAAGAAGUUAUGUUAAUGGUCAGUAUUCAUACUUCUGAUUGAAAUGCUGAUGCCCACCCAUUCAUUUCAGCUGCUCUUCCAUUUGAAAAUAGUCCUCCGGUUGUUAGGGGGCUACCAUGUUCAAGCCCACUUUGGUUUAAAAGAGAUGCAUUCUCCAAAAGAGUAGAAACACGCAAUAUUUCUGCUUCAAAUGUCAAUUUCAAUCAGAAGAAAUGUAGUUAGCAUUUGUUAAGAAAUCAGCCAUAAAAAAAUUGCAUAUAUGGGACUGACUAAUACGUUAGUGAAAAAUCAGCGGUUCAAAAAGAUUUCCUUAGAACUUUUAAAAUGUGGAAGUUUUGGUUAACUAAACAUCCAAAUAAAGCAAUAUUGGAAUUAGAAUAACCGUAUGUUGCUCAUACAUAAUGCCAAAAAAUUGUUCUCGAAAAGAACAUAGUACACAUACUAAUAUGUUUGAAAAUUAAUCAAAUAAAGGAGAGUUGAAAGUAAAACACAUUCGAAAGGAAAUACAUAAGUCAAUUUACAAAUUUACUCCAAAGAAGAUUUGGGUAAAAGCAACUCAAUGACAAAUCGAGCCAUUCCUAAUCUAUGUCAGUAUAGUUGACAUAAUGAUGUUCUUCCUGCUACAUUCUGUCCAAUCCAUCAGAAUUUGGAAGAAGAAAUCCUUGACAACAAACUCACAGGUGCUGCUAUUACCACAAUUUAAUCUAAAUGUAUACUUGCGCUAUCAUUUAAUAAACCAUUAUGUGUAAUUCAUUGAUCUGCAGUUGGAAAAGGUUAAGUCUGUCUUAAAAAACAAAACACUACAAAAUCUUGACAGGACAAGCACUAGAAAGUUCCAUGAACCUCUCAAGAGGAUAAAAACAGGUACAUCAUUGAUACCAAGACUAAAAUAAAGCAACUUUUCACCUGAUUAUGUCCUGAAAAAGGUUAUUUUGGAGGCAUCAUUCAUUCAGAUGUAUGAAGCCCAAGAUUCAAAAUAAAAAAACUUUUCAUAUACAUGCUGUCUUCUGUCAAGGGGCUGAUAAGUAGCCGGAGAAAAUGAACGCUCGUGUCACACUCAACAGAGAGCAAUUAAAAUUUAUGACAAAAUACAUUACUUCAGUUGAGAAGAAAUAAAAAUUGACUACCAAGAACUUUAGGCAGCAUGUGAAUGGGAAAUUACAGGGCCCAGAUAUCUCAUCAAAUGCAUUAGAAUUGUGACAACAAAGACUUUACAGUAAAUACAAGGCUAAACAGAAUAAGAAACAAUCAAGGCAGCCACCGCAGGAGGAUGCCAUUCUUUAAAACGAUCAGAAGGAUGAAAGAGACAGUUAAACGAAAAGAUAAAGACGAGCUAAAAGAAGUAACACAGCAUAGUAUUGUCAAAGAUUUCUCAGCAGAGAGGAACAAGAAGUAACUUCUAAUUAGGUUUACAAAGCAGUGAAUACUUGAUAGAAACAGUUCAGAUAAUUGGGUACUACAGAUCAGCAGUGGAUAGCCUGUAGAAAUAUUACUGAUUAAAUAACAAGAAAUAAUUCAGAUAUGUAAUAAAAUAAUUCGGAUAUGUAAUAAGGUUCUACAGCUCACCCUGGUUCAACAGCCGAUAGCAAUUCGGAAGCACCGGCACGAAAGGGCUGAGUUUGUGGCGCUCAGCGAACAAUUCAGCAAGAUACCUGUCAAAAGAGAUCAAAUCAUCUCAGAAAAUACCAUCUAGUAAGCCGCGUACACAAUCAUCGCAUGCUAUUAAUGUGAAAUAAUAACACCCGCAACCCCAAGAACCGAAGACUAGCUAAUUUGAACAAAACUCGUAUGUAUAUCCACUCAAAACAACUAGAUCUCGCAUAUUUAUCACUAAAAAGGAUUAAAAACAUGCAAACUAAGACGAUCUCUGAUUCCAAACGCAAAUCGAAAGAUCUCAACACCUCGUCAGAUGAUCAGUCAAAUAACACCAAACAUCAUCUCCCUACUCUCAGGGGUCGGAAUCGGAUCCGAAUCGAACCCCAGCGAUUUGAAAACGCAUCACAAGAGAUUUGACCGAAAGGGGGGGAGGGAGAAGGGGCGAAGGCGUACUUCUCCUGGUCGGCGAUGGAGGAGGCGGAGGAGCGGAGGGCGGCGGAGAGGUGGUGAGGUGAAGGGGAGGCGGUGGAGGGGGAAGGAGAGAAGGCCAUGUACCUGCCGGAAGACAUGGCUCCGGCGAGGUCUCCGCUCGGAUUCCGGCCAGAUUCGAUCGGAGGCGAGAAUAUUCCGGCGAGAUUUGUGCCCUAGAAGCCACUCCCCCCCCGCCCCCCUCUGCCUCUGUGUAUGUGUCUGUGUCGGCUCCCAGUAGAGAGAGAAGAGAGAAGAGAGAGAGAGAGGGAGAGGGUUUGAGGUUAUAAGGGAAGGUAAUAAUAACAGGAAGAGGUUGUGAGAGAGAGAGAGAGAGAGAGAGAGAGAGAGAGAGAGAGAGAGAGGGGGGGGGAGAGGGAGGGAACUACUACAACAGUGAACACCGACGGGGUAACUUGGUGUUUACAGUUCAGUGGUGGUUUCACACACCGCGGUACAAAUUAGUAUCGGUGGUGUUCAGUGCAACGGUUAUAUGUGGUAGUCGUGAGCACAGUCGCAUGUGGUGUGGGCCCACCUGUGUAAUAUAUUAAAGAUAUUUAAAUUGUUACAAUUGAAUUCAAAGUUAGAUAGUUAUAACAGAAUUUAGUGUGAUAGUAAAAUUAUUAAAAAUUUGUUAGUGGUAAAAAUAGUAAAUUAUCGUAAAUUUUUAAUAAAAAUUAUUAGCAGUUAAUUAAUAAGAAUAUACUAAUUUUUAGCCAUCUUUGAACUCAAAUGGUUUGAUAAGUUAAUUUUGAACUUAGGAUCUUUUCUAUAUAAUCUUAUUUACCGUUUAUGCUUUGUAUCAAAUGCCUUAACUAAGGCAGUAGGAUUGAAAAUUGUAUUGGAUUUGAGUUCUUUGUUUGAAUCGGUGGACCAGGCAGAGGCAAUAGUUUCUUCUAGACAUGUGGGGUCCACGUAGGAAAGGCUAUUAACAGGGAGAUAUUUAUUUAGACAUCGUACGUGGUGGGUAUGGUGUAUGAGAGGCAAUAAUUAUAUAUUAGAGAAAAUUUUAGAACCCUUGUGAUAGAGCCCAAUUAACGUUAAGGUUCAAUACAAAAGAGAUUAAAUCAAAUAUAUAUAUAUAUAUAUAUAUAUAUAUGACAAAAUAAGAUAUAAUAAGAAGAAAAGCUCUAAAAUUCUGAAAGAAAUAUAUUUUUUUUUCUGGCAAAUUUGACUAUCUGUAUUCUGUAUGGUAUGGUCCUUCAAUUAUGGGCAAAUCGAUCGUUAGCCACAUGAUCUGAAGGAUGAGCCCACUGCAUGGGCUCCACAAGAUGAACCAAUCGCGGAGAGGUUUGUAGAAAGUGCUGUGAACGGUGCUAUAUAUGCUCACAAAUAAUUUUAAGUGCUCGUAAAGUUUAUACAAUAGAGAUUUAUACUAUUAAUAGUAACAAAAGAUUAAUUUACAGAAUGGAACAGUUCCUAAAGGUGUAAAGUACAUAGAUAAAAGAAAGUUAAUGGUGCGAUUUACUGUCAAUGGAAUGAUCAUUAUCAUUGUUGUUGUUAGCUAUUAAUUUCAUUAUGAAAGCUCCUUUUUUAAAAAAGUCAAGAAGAAUAAAAUUUAAAGAAAAACAUGUCCACAUUAUCAUGUGAUAUCUAUUUUUUAGAAAAAAAAAAAAAAUGCAUUCAUUGUCGACUGAUGAAGAGAGAGAGAGAGAGAGAGAGAGAGAGAGAGUUUGGCAUAGGUAAUGAAUAGACCCGUGCGACCUUUCUUACUAGUUAACGUCGAUCUCGUAAAUGGCUAGUAGAUGGAUACAUAUUAAAUAUAGAAAAAUGAGAACAUUAAUGCUAUAUUUUAACAUUUAUAUGCGCAGAAAUAUUAACUAAUGAUAAUAUAUAGUUAUGUACGUUUAUAGGUACAUGCAUAAAUCGAUAACAAAUUAGGACUCUUUACAUGGCGAAACAAGGAAACUGAAAAAUUAAGAUGGCCCAUGUAGCAAAACUCUUUCAACUAAUGUUUCUUUCCUCUUUUUUUUUUUUCUUUUUUUUUCUUUUUUUUUUUUUGCCACUUGGUUAAAGCUAGUUUAUUACAAACCUAAGCGAAAUCACAGCUAAUUAUGAAGUAACAGUCCCAAGCUUAAGGAGUAAUCUGAUUACGUCCUUGCUUGCAACGUGAAAUCGCCUAAUAAUAAUACUAUUCAAACUAAUGGAAAAUAAAACGCCAUUAAGUAAGAAAAAAGAGAAUACGCCGUAGACAAUUUGAAAGAAGCCUUAAUUAGGAGACAAUGAAUAGAUGGGGUUGGUAAGUCCCAAUCAGACAGGCUGUAAUUGAAAAUUAAGCCACCCUAUAAAAUAUAUAAUCAACGCAUAAUAAUCAGUGAGAAUCUAGCCACAGUUCACAAACAAUCAUAUGCGAAACACUAAUAAAAGCUAGCUCCCCUUGUCUUAGGGUUGUUGGGGAGGCAUAAGUCCAUGAUUAAGGGGAUUAAUUGAUAAAACAGCAACAUUCAAAGACAAGACCAGCAGGUGGUUGCGGCAAAAUAUUGUUGGCUCCAAUGAAUCGCCGCUUUGCAUAGUCGCGUAUUCGGUUGCUCUGAUUAGAGCACUUUCGAUUCCACAGAGUAAUUUCUUUUUUUUUUUAAUGUUCUUUUACCCUUGGAGGGUCGUUGGAAAGAACAAUGUUACACGCACGUGCAACUUAAGAUAAUGAAACUCUGGCUUAACCCAGAUUAUCGGCCCUCAAAGUUUAAAGACCCUACCCGUUUAAAGACCCGACCCGGCCAGAUGAACAGAGCUAGACAAACGACCCAGUUAGACUAAUCUAUUCCACAGGAAUGAAAUGAUUCGAAUUAAAGCUGCUUCAAUCAGAGCAUCAUGUUCCCCUCCCGAAGCACACUACGCAGCAGCGAUGAACGUCCAAAAUGGAUUAAAUCUGACACUUUUAGAUGCCUCCUAAGUUGCUUGAACAUGACUAGAGUCAUCUGUAUAUAUUUCAUGACAUUAUUCAAGUCAAUGGGUAAGUGGAUAACAGCAUCAGAUGCGAAAUGCUUCCUGCGCAAUCUAUUAUAGAAAAUAAAACUUAUACCCUACCAUCCGAUAGUAUGAAAACCUCUUAUGUUUUUAGUAUUAAAACAAAAAAAAAAUGAUAAAACUAGUAAAUAAAUAUGAGACUGGCUAUGAUGCACAAUUUACAACCUACACAUAUAUGUACACGGAGCACUGCUCAUAUCAGAUUAACUUAAUUACCAAUGUGAGAGUAAACAUUACCCAAUAACCAUUGCCCGGGCUCAUUAGUAGCCAAAACCUAACUAGUGAUUAUGUCCCAGCCAACAUUAUAACCAAAAACCACCAGAAAUUACAGGACCCCGCAGACCGCUAACCAGAAACCACCAAAGGCGGGAAAACGGGAUUAACAUCUUGCCACACAAAUUUUAACUGAUAGAAACUCUAAUAAUAAUAAUAUGAUUAAGGUACCUUACUUCCAGAACAUUACCUAGAAGCAUCUAUAUUCACACGACAAGAGCAAUGUAAAAUCUAUAAAGUAGCUAUCCAGGAACAAGCAAUGACCUGCCAAGUAAUUAAACAACUGCCUAAAGCUUUUUAUUCACUGAUAAGGGACAGCUAUAUGCAUGCGGUACUACCCAUAAGCAUCAGAGUGUGAACGUUUAGCCCAUGGCGUACUUUUGGGUCCACGAUCGGGCUGUCGACUCAUACUUGGCACGGUCAGUCUUGUACAUGUGUGCAAUUUCCGGAACCAAGGGAUCAUCCGGGUUAGGGUCCGUCAGAAGCGAGCAGAUGGACAAUAGUACCUGCAAGUUCCACAAACUAAAUGUGUUGGUGCAAUAAAAGAUUAAUAGUAUACAUAGUUUUACAUGCACUCUAGUUAAAUAACUGAAUCAUAUAAUGAACAAGCACAAAUACAUAUGCCUCAUUGUGGGGAGGAGCUACUUAUACUAUUAGGUCUGGUUUCUUCAGUUAUUAGGAAAAAACCCCACUCAGUUACAAAGCCAGGUCUAGCCAAGAACAGGGUUCGUGCAUCUAGAAGCCCUCCCAGAUCAGCCAUAUUUGUUAGUCAAACACAAUUAGCUGAGAAAACAGAGGAAAGCAACUGCGAGUUCCUAUUAUAACCGUAGCACCGAGUUAUCAGAUUAGAAAAAACUUCUUAUGUGAGGCUUUCAAGCCUAUGCAUUAACUAGUAUCUAUCUACAGAUAUUCCGUGCAUAAGAAAGGUGAAAAUGAGAAAAGCAGAUAGCUUCUGGUAUAGUAAGCUUGCUUUAGCCUCUGAAACAAGAUAAUGUCCUAGCACUGCCUAGAAUAAGGCAAAGCCAAAGAAAUGAGAUGCAAACCAUAUACUGAAAAUAACAUUUGACCAUCCCUAAUAUUGCUCUUGAUUUUCCUACAUGCAUACCACUUUGUUCUAACCGCACUGAAGAAUGUCCAACUUACAUAUCCCAGGCACUUGUCGUGCUCAUUAAAAGAACGACAAACAGAGAUAAAAAUACUCAUAUGUUAGCAACAGCUGUCACACAUACCCCAGUACCAACUUUUAAUACAUUGUGACCAAAAUAGUAAACUAACAAGAAAUAAGUUCGCAUGCUACUAGAUCUAAAUUGAAAGUUCAAUUGGAAAAUUAAAACAAAAAAAAAUCACCUGAAAUAUAAGAACUCACAAAAUCUUUAAAAGGAAUCUGAAGAAAAAUAACGGUACCUUAGAAAUAGUCAGAGCAGGGCUCCAUUGCUCCUUGAGAAUGUCAAGGCAGAUGCUACCGUUGCUGUUAAUGUUGGGAUGAAAAACCUUGGUGCGGAAUGAGACCUAAAAAACCAAGUUUUUAUUUAUAAAACACAACUAUGUAAGAUAGUCCAGCUACUGCACAUUAUGGUAAGUUUUCCUGGUCUAGAAACACCCUAAGCAACUAGGUACAACUAUAUCAGAAAGCACAAAGAAGAGGAACAAAAAAGUCAUUCUGAUUGUGUUAAUUACUUCCGCAUGUAUAUUAUAAUCUGCUAACCUUUUACUCUAGGUUUCUCUUUGCUAGUUCACAUGCUUUCCUUCGAGCAACUAGGGGCUGUCAUAAAUGGAGUAAAAAAGAAAAUACAAACAGGUACCUUGGGUGGUUUAAAUGGAUAAUCUGGUGGAAAGUGAAUGUUCACUAGGAAAACACCACCUGCAAAGGGGCUCUCCGAGGGUCCCAUGAUGGUUGCUUGCCAGUGGAACAUGUCCUCGCCAACAGGACCUAAUCACAGAACAAAAGAAAUGUAAGGGGGAAAAAAAUCCCAAAUCUUUGAGUAUUUGUAUAAAAAUAACAAUUGUUUUCAAACAAAGUCAAUUUCCAAAUCAUCAAGAUACAUGAUUAGGAAGUCAAUUAAGUAAUCAAGCCAUCAGUACACAAAUUAAUCGCAUAAACUAACUUUUAUCUGUAAUCAUCAACAAAUGCAGCUCAAAGUAAAAAAGACACAAGGGGCAAAGAUAACGCAGGUUAACUAGUACACUACAGCAUAAUUCAUAUUCCUGUUAGAUGUUAGAUGGUCAUCAUUCACAAUACGACUUUUCUACAAGCUGGUAUAAGAAGCUUCUGCAUAUGUGCCAAUAUUACACCUUGUGGUUGCUUCAGGCAGGUCCCGGCUGGUAUAGGUCUCUAUAUGUGAAUCAGGUGGUCGAACACAAAAAUUAAGAUAUCUAUAUCGCAAACAUAAUUAAGGUAUUUCUUUUAGUCCUUAUGAUUACCUGAUAAUUCAUGAACGUACUAUCUUAAUUUUAUAGAUUCUUUAUUGACCAUAAUUCUAGAUUAGUUAUCACAACCAACAGAAUGGCAUUCUAUUGUUGCAUGAACCUCAAGAUAAGAUUAAAACCUAAAACAUCUUUCAUGGUGUUAUAUUGAAAAAAUUUUAAUUAUCCUCUAUCAAGUACACAGUAGGAUAUAGUAGGAUCUAAAUUAUAUAUAGUUAUACAAAUUAAUAUCCAAAUAAGAACAAUAUUUAGUCCCAAAGACCGAAGUUCUAUACUUAUAGCAAAAUUAGGAUCAAGAACCCUAUGUCUACGAAAUCAUUCAAAUGACAAAAGCAUGGAUCAUCCUACAGCCUAUUCCUGCUAAAUAAUCGGAUCAAAUUGGGCAGUGCACCAAAUAAUCACUAGGCAAAUGCAGGUUUAUCUUUCCAUAAUACAAUAGGAAUUAAAAGCAGAUUAAGUUCAGAAUUCAACUACAAUAAUGCGUCCAAUGACACUUGGAAAAUAAUAUAAUUAACAACAGAACAAAUUUAGACAAAAUACCGACGUUUAGAUAGACAUAAAAGAAGAACAAAUUACCUGCGCUGCAAGAAACAGGAGGGUCCUUCUGCAAAUCCUUCAACUCCUUCUGAAUCCUCUUUGAAGCCAUUGAUGAGCGAUCAAAAAAGCGAACUAAAACUAAAUCUGCACGCUACAAUCAACUUACAUUAGACAACGUAUAUAAAGCAUUAGAAGGCAAAAAUAAGGAGAACGGAACAUAAACGUCACAUCAAAUCCCAAAUCUCUUCAAUAAAGCACAAUAAAUCGGAAAAAUAAUACAUAGAAACUCUAUCUAACCAAUAGGAUCCCAUUAUUGUCAACAAAAUCAAACGAGAAACCGAUCUAGGAUGAUAAAAAGUUCGAAAUCUAACGUUUAUCAAAGAACGGCGCAAGAGAUCCGAAACAAAGAACAAAGCCCUAAUUAACAAGGAUCGAAAGCAACAUAACAAGAAACAUGCGAGUAAGGGAAAUAGAUGAGAGAUCGAACAGGACCAAAACGUAGGGGGAGAUCGACGAUGAAGGAAUCCGAAUCCGUACCAAAUCGAGAGCUCCCUUGGCGUGUUAGGGUUUUGUUUCCGUUUCCUCGAUUCUUUUCGUUGGAGCCCCGGUAUAGCUUGCGUAUGAAAAAGACAAAAAGCGUCUCCCUUGUGGUAUAUAUAUAUAUAUAUAUAUAUAUAUAUAUAGAGUAGGCUACUAUACUCUUAUGAGUAUAGAGCUCUUUGUACUCAUAUAAGUUGUUAUCAAUGAUAAAGCUUCUAAAUCAACGAUAUACACCGUUAAAUAUUAUCUAAAAUAUUUGAAACUUUUAAAAAAUAAUUAAAUUUUAUAAUUUUUUAAAAUUAUAAUAAAGUUCAUUAAGCGGACAUAAAAUGAACAGUCAAAAUUGAACGACAUUCUAAAAAUGGAUCAUUGAAUCUUUCAAUUUAAAAUCGGAGUUAUUGAUAAUUAUGUAGAUAAUGAAUAGAAUUAUUUAUCAAAAAUUCAAAUAAUUUUGAAUUUUUUACACCAUUAAAUUAGCAAGUACUCCAUAUUGACCUUUAAAAGUUAUCAAUUUUGAUAUGUUCUGAUUGUAAAGUAAAUAAUGUUGAAAAAAUUAUAAAAUUUGAUUUUUAGAAAUUUCAUAAUUUUUUAAAUCAUAUUUAAUUAUAUGAAUCGUUGAUCCAUAAGUUCUAUUAUUUAAAAUAAUUUAUGAAUACGAAGGCAAUCGUACUUAUGUAUAAUAGCCUAGUUCUCUCUCUCUCUCUCUCUCUCUCUCUCUCUCUCUCUCUCUCUCUCUCUAUAUGUAUAUAGAAUUGAGUUCCUAUGUUUUUAAAAGUAACAAGUCAUUGGUGCAUGUAGGUUUUCUGCUCUUAGAAUAAGAGAUGUGCAGUUAGGAUGACAGUAGUGUCUUAGGACUGAGUGAUUGAUUAGUUGAAUAAUAUGAUUUAACGAGUGGAAAUGGUAGUCAAAGGAUAUAUUUAAUUGUGAAAAGUUUAGAAGCAUAAAAUGCUUGGUGCUUUUACAAACACUAUAUAUAUAUAUAUAGGAAUUAGGCUGGAAUACUAUUAAUAGUAAAACGCUCUUUUUGCUAUCAAGUUUUUAACCCUUAGAUGAAAAAUUAUAGGGUCAGGAUGAUAUUAGUCGGUUAGAGUUGAGUGGUCCCCCUAGGAUUGAGUGGUCCCCACUUGGUUAUAGUAUUUAAUUCAAUGGUUAGAAAUAAUGAAAGAGUUAAUCCAAAGGCUAAAAAACUGAUAGCAACAAUGGAAUUUUGCUACUAAUAGUAGCCCAGUCCAACUCUAUAUAUAGAGUUGAGCUAGAAUAUUAAUACCUCUAAACCAAGAGGUUGGUGCUUUUGAGUUUUUAACCCUUGGAUGGAGAGAUAAAAUUAAGGUUGUGAUGAUGGUGGUAGGUGGAAUAGUAUUUGAUCCAAGAGGUUGGUGCUUUUACAAACACUAUAUAUAUAUAUAUAUAUAGAGUUGAGCUAGAAUACUUUCAAAAACACCAAGAGGUUGGUGCUUUUGAGUUUUUAACCAUUGGAUGGAGAAAUGUAAGCUAGGUUGGGAUGAUAGUGGUAGAUGGAAUAGUAUUUGAUACAAGGGCUAUUAGUAAUCAUGGACUAGAUCCAAGGUCUAGAAACCUAGAAGUAAAAAGGGGUUGAUACUUCUAAAAGUAUUCUAGCUCAAUUAUAUAUAUAUAUAUAUAUUUAUAUAUAUAUUAUAUAUAAUUAGGCUGGAAUGCUAUCAAUAAUACUAAGCUAUUGAUACUAUUAGUUUUCGGCUCUGGGGCGANCAAACGAUUUAUUUUAGGAAUAGGAGUAAGUUUAGAUAUAGAAGAGGAAUUAGAUAAAUUUUACAUUUACAUAAAAUUAUAAUAUUUUUAGGAAUAAAAUAAAUAAUAUUUGAAUAAUUAGAUUAGAAUAAGAAAAACAAGAAUUAUAAUUUUAAAUUUAAAUUAUUUUAUCUAAUUAAUUAAUAUCAAAAUAUUACUUAAAAAUAAUUUAAUAAAUUAAUAAAUUUAUUAUCCAUGAAUAUUAUAUACGAUAAUAAAAAUAUGUUAAUUAUUUAUAAAAAAUUAAUUUAACUUUUUAAUUAGUUAUUAAAUUAUUUUAGUCAGAUAAUUAGUAAAAAAAUUAAUUAAAUUAAUACAAAUAUUAAUGGCUGAUCAGUAUAGAUACUAGAUUAAUGAAUAUUUCAAAUAUCAUAAUUAAAAUUAAAUUUAGAUUUUAAUUAAUUUUGUUCCCAACGAGAAACAUAUUCGUUCGAGAAAAAAAGAUAAAACAAUAAUUUCAGCCUUAUAUCAGCUUAUUUCAAAAUUUAUUAUUUUUAGAUAUCAAACACAGUGUUUUACAGCAAAAGGAGAAUAAAGACUUAUUUUGCUCUUUGUUUCCGAACCAAACACUACCACCACGAACAAGCCGAGCACUCGGCUGACAACAAUGAUAGUGUUGGGCCCGUCUCAGUUAAGUUGAGUUGAUUUGACCAGUCCAAACAAAAUGGGCCUAUCGUUGUUUGUAAUGGCCCAAAAUUGUGGACCGGGACUAUACUGGAUUUAUCUUAAAAAUGAAUGGUUGUUGAGACACAAAAUUACGAGAUCUUUACUUUUGCUUUCAUAUCGGCCAUAAAUUGGCUAAAUAUAACAUUGGGAAGCUGAUAUGAGAUUCAUCUUUUCGAUAAUAAGAGAAAAUUGCUAACUUAAAAAAAGUAACAAGAACAUGAAGAUGACAUUUCGAUAAAGAUUAUAAAUAAGAAUACAAAAAAGGGAAAAAAAUAAAGCCAAUGUUGCUUUGUAUAUGCUACAGAAUCUUCCAAUAAGAACGCAUAAUUCAACCUCAAACAUUACUUAUUGUAUCUGACUAAUGACACCAAGAUACUCUACAUCAUGUUUACACCCUCAAAUUUAUAUAUUUAUAAAAAAAAACCGACAAAGCAAGUAAAAGAUGGGCCAAUCAGAUACAAAUUCCAUAAUGUUAGUAUGGUUCAAAUAAACAGUAACGAACCAAGUAUCGAAAAUUUUAUUGAUCUAGAGGAACCCAUUCCAGUUCUAGGUCUAAGUCUCCUGAUUCAACAUUCUGUAGCUUUAGAAACACUUCUUGUUUUACUUUCCCAUCAACUAUUUUGACUGUGCUAUCUUUAAUAAGCGCGUUGUCACUGGUCUUGAACCACUUCCCGAUCUGCAUGUUGCCCAGAAGCGAGGGGUCUCCGAAGGCCAUUGCAGCUGUUAUCAUCGGUUGAAGGUCUAUCUCUGCUUCUCCCAUGAUAUCAUCGGCGGUGAACACAUCGUGAUCAUAUACUUCCUGCAAAUAAUAAAGAGACUCGAUGUUAGAGUAUUGUAUACAUUUAGUGACUAUUGAAACUGCUAGUUUACGGCAUAUUUUGCCGGGCUUGAGAGUUUGAGUUUCUGUAGAAAUACUGUUUGAGUAAAAUUAUUUUAAAAAGAAUUAACAGCUUUCUAUUAAAAAUGCCCAACAGUUUCUUGCUAUCACUAGAAGUAGCAGUUUCAAAUUAUAAGAGCUGCUGUUUCGGUCUGUAGCAGCCCGCAAUAGCCAGAAGGAAGUUUGAUUCGAAAAAGAGCAUGCCAAUAUUUAGAUUACACUGACCAGCUUAAGAGGUCCAUAAUGUUGCGGAACUGAAAAUUUAAGCACUUCAUUCCACACAGGAUUCAGGUUGCUCUUUUUAACUGUUGUCUGAACUUUCUGCGAUAUCCAAUCAAUUGGCAACCAGAGCAAGAAAAGUAAAGAAAAAUGGAAUUUACACAAUGCUGAUGAUCCUUUUUUUCCAAAGUAGAACAACAUUUCUAUAAAAGUAACUUACCUGCUGCCCGAGGGUAAGAACGACAUAUGGAUCACUUGACAGCAUAUCUCUCACAGCUAAGUUUGUUCCUCUUAUAACUUUAACUUUCAAUUCUCCAAUGAACUCUCUCUCAACUUCCUGCUAAUUUGGAAAGCGUUGUGAUUAAGGGACUACCCGCUACAAUAUAACAGUAAUAGCUGUUUGUUAGGUCAAUUGUAUACUGGGGACUUAACAUAUGUGCCCCUGUAAAAUCAUUUAUAUGCCAGUGUACCCCUGCAUAAUCUGGAUUUUCAUAUAUGAUCUUCAAAGUGCAGAUUUUUACACAACUCAGAACAUGGGUUAGUCACCUAUCCUUUUUGGGGAAAGUUAAGAAAUUAAUUUUUUGUAUAAUAUGUAUGAAAAUUCAGAUUUUACACUAGUAGUAACUCAAUGUAAAGUUGCAGCAGUUAUAUCUUGGUGCAACAACUACCUCAAUGAUUUCUUCCAGCAAUAAAGUGAGAGUACAAGAAAGAAGACUUACAUCUUUCUUUGAAGUAUCUGAAACAAAGCUGCUAUCUGAGCUCUUCAUAGAAUCAAAGGAUCUAAAAGACAUCUUUGAAGAGACAAUACGCAAGCUCGGUUUUAAAAAUUCUUGUAACUCAUAUUUCGACCUAUAUAACAGAAAGAAGUGGUUCAAGAUAUGAAACUGGCAGCAAAAAUACAAAAGACAAAACAAAAAAAUAAAUAUUUUUAUUCUCCACCUACCUAAUGAAGUUGCUCCUGUCCUCAUAACUCGAAUCUGCUUUAGGUUUUGGAUAUCGUUUAGGAAGAAAAGCCUCAUAAAUUGAAUUGGCAUAAGAAUUUCCACCAACCUCAACCAUAGAGUCGAUAUCACCAUCUGACCAUUCGUCCAAUGUCACUGACAGAACCUGAAUGAAUAAUAAGAGACAAAGAGAAGAAGGAAAAAGAAUUAUGAGAACAACUAAUAAUGACGGCAUCACAAAAGUCGAAAACCACUCAUUUCUACCUACAGUUACACUCCUUUACUUUUGUUAAUUAAACUGAAAUUAUAUGCAAUGAAGUACACUGGCAAAUGACUGAUUCUUUGCAAUAUAUACAGCUACGGGGUUUGUUUGGCAGCAAAAGAAUAAAUCUAAUGGCAACUUCCUUUCACUUCUUUGGACUCGAAAAAUUAACCAACAAUGUUUUGUUUCUUCUUCUUCUUCUUCUUCUUCUUCUUUUUUUUCUUUUUUUUUUUUUUGCGGAAAAGGUAGCACGCUAUCUGUUUCAUUCAUUGGAAAGGUGAACUAAGCAGCAUGGAUGAGGCAUCGAAGGCCUCGAAGGGGGCGGGAAAAAAAAAACCCGCUAGCAGUUACAAUGGUGCUUGUCGAUUGAGAGAGAUUGCUCCCAUUGUUUCGUCAACUAUUUAAUCCUAAAGAUGCCUAGGAAUGAGUCUGGCUGGGUCUUCCUAAAAAUAGCAUCAUUCCUGACCUUCCAAGUGACCCAUCAGCAGGCUAUUAGUCCGAUUACCCUGGUACCCAAAGAAUGUGUUCCCUUCCUACCUAUCCAUCGAUCCCAGAUCAAAUUCACAUCAUCACCAAAAUCUCUUGAGUGGACAUUUACUAGAGUCGUCACCAUUAAAAAUCUGGAAAAUACGCACCGAGUGAAUAGAUGGUCAACAGUUUCCUCUUCGGUCCCACACAGCACACAGGUUGUAUUGCCAAGCCAUCCUCUCUUAAGGACCAACAAUGUUUGAAACAAGGAAGUUCAUUCGCAGGUGCAAUCCGUCAUAUGGAAUUAGAGUUAAAGAAGGGAGGAAAUGUAACCAAAAGAGGUCUUAAUGAAAAAAUAGUGUACCAUUGCAAAUUAUAGAAAUACAAUACUGAGCAAUUAGUGUCACCAGAGAAUAUAACUGUUUAAAACGUGUCCAAGACAUCAAUAUAGUGUCACUUAUAUAACAGAGAAACAUCAGAAAUAAUUAUAUGACCUUUGAAACAUCAGGCCCAAGGCUCCUGUGAAUGUCACUACACUUUAAGCAUAAGAAUACUCCAAUGUUAGCCGACCUGAAAAAGCAACAAAAAUAUAAUAAUAGUACACAAAAAGAAAACAAAGUUAUGCUGAAACAAUAUUGUCAUCAAGUGCAAUCUGAAGAUGAUCCUAUCGUGUGUCAUAAAUGCACUCAGACAUGUUAUUUGUGUAAAAGCUAAUGGAUUACCAUAAUUUAUAAUCAAACAAGAUAAGGUCUCAAAGAUCACAGAGAGCUUUCGCUUUGUUCACUAUCUUAUAAGGACUCUAGCACUCAUAAUGUGUCUACAGAAUCUAGUAAAAUAGAAUAAAAUAAUUGCCAAAAAAAAAAAUUCUUCUUUGUCUGCAUGGGUUUAUGAUGUCCUAUGUAGCUAUUAAUGGAAUGACAGUGGUUCUAUUCCAGUAGAUAGCAUGCAUUUUUCACCAAAAUGGGGCUGAUCCUAAAAUCUCCUUUAAGGUACUAAUAUAUAUAAUUCUCUCUAUUUCAGACAAGAAAUAAAUGAUAGUUCCCAAUCAUUCAUUACAUCUAAAUAUAAUGGAGAUGUAACCAACAAAACAGAAGACAAAUACUCACGCCCAUUUGGGAUCUGGUGCACCACAGUCUGCACAAAUCCGAUUAUCACUUUUGAGCGUAAGCUCCUUUAAUUUCCUUGCUUUACCUGUAGUACAAAGACAGCAUAGCCAGAAUCCAGAUUUCCAGCAAUAUAUAAUCAAUAAUUCUGAAAAACUUGCAGAUGCUUUUUAUCACUAAGCUGCGAUUACAGAGUAUCUGAAUCUAUUAUGCGUUACAAGAGUAGAACUAGACUAUGAUCAAUAUAUAGUCAUUUUAUGGCAGAAACUUGUAUUUUUCUCAAUUUAAAGUUGAUAAGUAAGCUCAAUGAUAGCUUCAUAAAAUCUGUACCAUCAGAGAAAUCCCUUAUAUAAUACUUUUAACUUUUAAUUAAAGAUGCAACUUUGUUAAUAUAUUAAUGUACUUUUAGUAUUCGUGGUUGUAGCCAUAAAUGUCUCCGUCAAAGUUAGAGGCGCGCUAGGCUAGAAAUGAAAUGGUAUUGAUGAUCAUAGAGUAUCUAUAAAAGCAAUUUCCAAUGAAAAUAUAGCGCCUAACAAUGUCAAAGUUAAGAUUGUUAAACUUGUUCUAUGUUCUUCGUCAUCGAUCAUGCUCUCUUUCUCUAAACUUCCUAUCCUCUAGCUCUAUUGUACCAUAUUAUUUGCUGAAAACAAAAUUCUAUUGCGGAUUUUUUUUUUUUUUGCUGCUUUUGUGCAUUGACGACAUAGAAUACCCAAAUAUGCAGACCGAAUGAAAGAAUUCUCAAACGACGCACCUGUCAAAUAGCGGCUACUCAUCUCUCCACCGUGCCAAAUUUUCAAUGAUUCGCCAAAAUACUGCAAACAUCAAAACUCACUAAACAUUAAUUGACUACUAAAUAUAGAGUGAUAGUCAUAAUAGGAAACCAGUUAACUAUUAAUAAAAUUAUUAUCACUUAUGAAACAGAGAUUGAAGAACUAUUUUUUUUCUCGGAGCAAGUACUAAUAAGAAACUACAUGGAUAAUUGAAUGUAUCACACACAAUUUCACCAAACACAAUAAUACCCUACGUUUGUGUAAAAUACAACACAGUCAAGAACAUCAAAUGAUCGCAAAGUAGAAUACAAAGGAAUCAUCCCUGUAUACAAAUAAAGGGAUUCCAACUACAUAGGAACUUUCACCUUUUAUCCGAUAGCAACCAAAAAAAAAAAAAAAAGGUCAAACAAUGGGAAACCACUUCCAUUCGUUGACCCAGAUAACUAAAUUUUCGAAAUUUCCCAAAUAAAUUCGAAAAACCAACAAAUUGAUCUCUGAAUCGGAUCCCCCAGUUCCGAAAUUAAAAAAAAAAACAAAAACAAAAACAAAGAUUAGAAAACACAAGUAGGGUAUCAUUCAAACCUCUUACGCACGGAGGAUUGGGACCAAGAAGAGGAGCUUCGCAUCUAAAAAAAAAAAUUAACAAACAAAUGGGAAUUGGGCGAAUUGCGGUAGUGGAUUUGCUUCAGAAGACGACGGUGUUGGACUCGCCUAUUAGAAGCUAUAUCUCUCUAUUUUAUUUGUUGCGUAUUUAUACGAGCAAACAAAAAAAAAAANUACAUUUAGGUCCCGUCGUCAUGAUUCCAUCAUUAUUUUGUUAAUUUUUUAUAAUUUAUACUAAAAAUAUUUUUGAAAACAACAAAAAUAAAUUAAAAAAUAAUUUUUUUAUAAAAGAAGUAAGAAUAAAUUAAUUAUUUUGCCCUUUCUAUUAACGUCGUAUUUCUCUGAAAAUUUUUCUGAAAUUUUAAGAUUGCAAAAUAUAAAAUUUUAAAAAUCAGAGAGAAAAAGUGUGUAAUUUAGCCUAUUAAUAAAAUCGGGCACAAUCAAUUGUCCAAAGUUUAAACUAUAAAUUUAGGCCCCGUUUCUUAUUGGAUGUAUGAUUAAAAUUAGAAUUAUUAAUCUCUCGUGAUAAGCUUAUGCAAAAAUGGUAUUGGCUCUUUAUGUUUCACAAGAAAUAAAAAGUUAGUUUUUUUUUUAAAUUUUUACUAUAAUAAUCUCUCUAAAAGCUUUUACUGUAUAACAGUUAGAAAGUUCAUAUGUUCCAACUUUACAUCACAUGAAAAAAAAAAAAAAAGGAAAAAAAAGAGAGGCCUUUUUGAAGAGAUUCUUCAUUCUCAAUGGCAAACUUACAAGUAAAUUACGACAUUAUUAGUGGAGAAUAUAUUGUGCAAAUGUGGAUGCUUUGUUGGUUGGCACCAGAAGUGCACGUCAAUUGCAUGGUCAAUCUCAACCCCACAUGGGUGGCCAUAUUUGAUUGGCUCCAAUAAUCAUUAAUUUAAUGGUUGAUUCGUUGAGCGCAUAGGUUGGUUGUAGCUAAUUUGGCUAUGAUAGUGAUCGUAUUUCAUUCCCUCAAAUGGAUAAAUGGAGAUGCAUUUAGGCUAUCUUUAUCUUCUUUGUAUCAUUCAAAUGUUCUCAUUAUUUUAAGAGUUAGAAAAUAGCACGUUACUCGUUUUAUUUAUUACGAAAAUAAAUUUGGCAAAAUAAAUAAGAUAAAAGGAUUGCAAAGGAAGUAAUACAAAUAUAAAAAUAGAGCAUAAGGGCAGAAAAAGAUGAAAAAAAAAAAGACAACAUAAAAAAAAAAUCUAUUUAUUACUAUAUACUAAAAUAGAACCCUUUAUAAACUCUAUGUAAGAAGCUGACACGUGGCUUUUUAUAUGAUUGCCACGUGUCAAGCUCAAAUAUAGAUUUUUACUAUAUUUAUUAAAUUCAAAUACAUAUACUUUUAUUUAAUUAAUAUUUUUUAUAAUGCUAUUAAAAAUUACCUAUAAUGAAGGAGAUUUUAUUUCAAAGUCACAUAUAAUUAUCAAAGUCAUCUAUAAAUUUGUUGAGAUAUUUGAGAAAUUUACGGAUUUUAUUAAAAAUCAUCUAUAAUAAAGGGAAUUUUAUUUUAAAGUCACCUAUAAUUAUGUUGAGAUAUUUGAGGGGAUAUUAUAUUGCGAAAGAAUUGGCGGGUGCGGAUAUUAUGCGUGAGAAGUAAAAUAUUUAUCUUUAUUUGGGAAUAAAUUAUUACUUAGUUAAUUAUUUGAAAUGAUUGGUUGAAAAUUAUUGGUUGAAAAUUACUGGACAUUAAAAUAUUAGUAAAAAAUGAUAGAGGCAUUUUUGGAAAGAGGAUAAAAUUUAAAACUCACGCUUUUAUAAGUAGUAUAGAUAUAGAUAUUGCAUGUCACUUCCCUAUUAUCACUACUUCUGUAAUUUUCAUUUCGUAAUUUUUUUUUCCCUAUUAUCACUAUUGUAAUUUUCUUAGUUGUUAAAUGUUGAUGCUUUAAAAUAGAAUAUAUUACUUUCAUUUUAUUAUUUAAAUAUGAAGCAAGUAUUAAUUUUUUCCUUAGAUGUCUUAUUGUUCUCAAGAUAUGGCACUUGGGUAUGAUUCUAUACGUGACAUCACUCAUCUUGGAGACAAAUGGAAGAUCAAAGUCAGAGUGAUUUGUCUGUAUACUAUGCCUGAAUUUCAUCGUCCAGAGGUAUUGAAUAGCUUAGAGUUAGUUCUUUCUGAUCAAAAUGUAAGAUACGACUUUUAUUUUCAAAUUGAACAUACGUUUGCUUUAUUUUUACUAAAAGAUACUAUAUAAUUUGUUUAUUUUCUGUUUUAGGAAGAUAGGAUACAUGCAACGGUAGGAAAAGCUUUCUUGAACAAAUUUAAAGAACUUUUUACAGAAGGAAAAGUUUAUGUGAUCAACCAGAGAGUGUGGUAGAGCAGCGGCUCCUACAGGACCACUAUACCUCCUUACAAAAUUAAUUUUCAAUAUUCUAUGGUUUUACGUGAGAUGGAAGAUAUUUUGACAAUAUUAAAGUAUGGAUUUAUAUUUACCCCUUUUGAUGAAAUACUUGCUAAUGUCGCUGAUGACAAAUAUUUAGUAGGUAAGAAUUGUUACAUGCAUCAAAUAUUUAAUUUUUAAAAUUUAAUUUUUAAUAUGUGUAUCUAUUAUAUUGAUUCUUACAUUUUAUUUUUCUAAUUUAUCAGAUGUCAUUGGGAAGCUUUCUGGAAUUAGUAGAAUGGAAGAAAGCUGCAAGGACGAUAAAGAAACAAAAAAAUUAUGAUACUACUUGAGGAUGACAAGUAGGUGCUCAUAAUUAUAAAUAUAUUUUUUGAAUGUUUAUAUGUUUUGAAUCAGUUAGCUGCUUAUUAUUAUAAAUAGAUGACUAGAUUGACAGUUAUAUCAAAAAUAAAUUAUAUUGUAUUUAUCAAUCUGAUAACUUUAUAAUACAACACUCAUGUCUACAUUUUAAAUAACGGUACUUUACGUUCUUUGAGUUUUUCUUGCUGAUAUAAAUAGAAAUAUAAAAAUUAUCUAUCUGAUAUAAUAUAAAUCAAAAAUAAGUAGGCACAUAUAUGAUAUAAAAUAAAUAUUAUUUUUAAAUAUUAUUUUUUAAAAUAAUUUUUAAAUAUUAUUUUUUUAUCAUCAAUUCGGCUUUCUAAUAUGUACUAUAAUUAAGAUUGAUAGUAUAUUUUUUUAUUUGUUAAAAAAAUAUAAUAUUAAUUAAAAUAUUUUUUUAUCAUCACAUAAUAAUAACUUUUAUUAUUCUAUAUUAAUAUAUUAGCCGUGCAUCGCACGGGUCAAAAACUAGUUUAAAACAAAAACUCGAACUCUAAGGCAGCGUUUGGUUAGGGAAUAGGGAUAGGAAUAGGUCCUUAUCCCCCCUUUAUACCCAAAUGCUAAUUUUUUAUUCGAGAAUAGUAGUUCUCGGUUAUCCCUACAAAUACCUUUAUUUUCUAUAUAAAACUAUCUAAAAUUGUUCUUAUCUCCAAAAACAACUCAAUUUUCAUCCAAACACUUUUUCUUAUCCCCAUACUUGUACCUAUUUCUGUAAUAACUAGUUCUUCCUUAUACCUGAACCAAACGGUACCUAAACACGCACCAAUUGAAUAUACAGUCACACCACUACAUCAGAGCUCUCUUAAUUUUUUCAAUGAUGAACAUUGGAUCUAACGUUACCCCAUUCUCCUUUCGGUCGAGAGAGAUGCUUCUAGACCGAGGAAGGUUUUUAGGUUCGAAGCCGCUUGGUUACAACAUGAUGACUUUGUAGCCAAAUUGCCUGGCUGGUGGCAGGAGGGGGCGAAGAAAAAUUCGGCUUUACUAACGUUCACUGCAAAACUGAGGCAUUGUAGAAAUAGGAUUAAGGAGUGGUGCGCUAAUGAGUUCUAUAGUAUUAAGGAACACAAAGCUAAGUUAAUGGAUGAAAUCCAAGUGAUCGAUAAUGAGGAGGAGAGGGGCGACUUAUCCCAGGAUACAGUUAUACAGAGGGAGAAGCUUAAGGCUAAACUUAUUAGGGUGCUUAAAGACGAAGAAGCGGUGUGGCGGACCAGAGCGAAGCAACACUGGCUAAAAGAAGGAGAUAGCAAUACAAAAUUUUUUCAUGCGGUAGCAAACAGUAGAAGGAGAAUGAACAGGAUCGAAACGUUGGAAGAGGGUGAUAGGAUAUACUAUUCGGAAGGGGAUAAGAAGCGACACUUAUUCCAAAAAUUCCAUGAGCUUUUCACGACGGACGAAUCAGCUCCAACUUCGGUUGGGGAUUGGAGCAAUCUCUUCACACUCAGACGCGUUAAUUUCGACAACCUGACUCAAAUUUCGGGGCCUUUUAGUAUAGGCGAAAUUAAACAGGCAGUCUUCCAAUUGGGGAGGGAUAAAGCACCGGGACCCGACGGUUUUCCAUUGAGUUUUUAUCAAACCUUCUGGGACACGAUCCAAGGCGACCUUUUGAACCUUUUUCUCGAGAUGUUUGAAGGGAGCCUGUCCACCGGCCCCAUUGACUACACUUACAUCUGCUUAAUUCCUAAGAAGGAAGGUGCCAAACGGGCUGCUGACUUCAGACCUAUUAGCCUCCUUAACGGGAUUCAGAAGAUCAUUUCUAAGGUUAUAGCUAAUCGAUUGGAACAGGUUUUGAGCAACAUAAUAUCCCUCUCCCAAUCGGCUUUUCUGAAGGGGAGAAACAUCAUUGAUGCUUUUGUAACCGUUAGAGAGCUUUUAGGGUGGGCAAGUAGGACGGGGGAUGAGGGGGUCGGGGUAAAGGUGGAUUUCGAAAAGGCUUACGACAGAAUUUAUUGGCCUUUCCUGUUUAGCUGUUUACACUGGUGGGACUUCGACGAAAAGUGGUGUAAUUGGAUCAAACUAUGUGUCUGCAACGCCAAGGUUGCAGUCCUGAUUAACGAUGACGUCACCAAUUGGAUUAAAACGAAGAGGGGCAUACGACAAGGGGAUCCGCUCUCCCCUUUUCUUUUCUUACUAGUCGCGGAAUGUCUUGCCAGACUGACGAAUGAGGCUAUUCGUAACAAUCUCAUUGUAGGCAUCGGUCCCACUGAGACAUCCAGAACUACCCUCAUUCAAUUUGCAGACGAUACCUUCUUCUUCUGUAAAGCCAAGAAAAGAUGUUUGAGAAACCUAAAAUUCAUUUGGCAACUCUUCGAAUGGGCAUCUGGAUUGAGAAUUAAUAGAGAGAAAUCGGAAGUCUACUAUACUGGUCACACACAGGGAAAGGACAGUUGGAUUGCGCAUUUACUCGGAUGUAGAGUGGGUACUCUACCCACUAAGUAUCUGGGGUUGCCCUUGUCGAUCAAACCACCUUCCAAGGAGGACUAGAGGGGGAUCAUCUGUAAAAUUCAAAGUAGAAUCGACGGGUGGCAGGGUAAACUUCUUUCAAGCGGGGGUAGACUUAUCCUUGUAAAAGCAGUACUCUCCAAUCUACCCCUAUACUAUCUCUCGGUCUUUACGACCCCUAAAUGGGUAAUCAAGCGUAUAGAGACUGUACGCAGAGAUUUUUUCUGGACAGGACAGUUGUCUAACCCAGGAAUAAGAUGUCUGGUUUCAUGGCAGAAUGUUUGCCGUAACAAGAAGGAAAGCGGACUAGGCAUUCUCGACAUUACUACGAUGAACCAAGCCCUACUUGUUAAGUGGUGGUGGAAAUUUCUAACUGCUCCCCUGUUACAGUGGAAUAAUCUUAUCCACGAAUUGUUCUAUCGUAGAAGAAGACCGUUGAAGGAGGGACGAUCGUUUAGACCACCUUCGUAUUGGUGGAAGGGUGUACUAAGUAUGAAGGAAAUUUUUAAAUGGGGAGCUUUUUAUAAGCUGGGUAACGGACGACACAUCGACUUUUGGGAGGACCGUUGGUGUGGGGAAACAACGCUACGUUCGUCGUUCCCUGAAUUGUUUCACUUAUCACCUGGUAAAAACCUGAAAAUCUGUGACGGGUUGAAUAGCAACGGUUGGUGCUGGGAAACGAUUCUUGGUGGUGACACUUCUGUUAAUCCUAGUGUUUGCCCUGACAUUACUGCUCUUAAGGGCAGAAUUUCCAAUGUUUCAAUUAGUCAGGGGCAGGACAGUGUACAUUGGCGUUGGAGCACCGACGGAUGUUUUACGGUGAAGUCAACUUAUUCAACUUUGGGCGACGGAGGCAUGAGGGAUGCCCGUUCGAGCAAGAUCUGGUCUUUACGCCUGCCUUUAAAAGUGAAAGUGUUCUGUUGGCUUGUCCUUAAGAAGAGAGUGCUUACUGCUGACAAUUUGGUUAAGAGGGGAUGGGUCGGCAACACGAAAUGCAUGCUGUGUGGACUGGAAGAGGAAACAGCCGACCACCUAUUCACACAAUGCGUAGUUACCAGAUUCCUAAUGGCGACGACCCAGGAGAAUAUUCAGCUAGGAGAUCUGGGAGAGGAAGUGCGUCAAGUGUGGGAUAGAUGGGCAGGAUGUACGAGAUCACAAUCGACCUCAACCAGUCUCAUAGGCCUGAUAGCCUGCUGGUGGGUCUCUUGGGAUUCUAGGAACAGAGCGAUCUUCACGGCGACCAAGAACAACCCAAUAGCCUGUAUUUAUAAGAUUAAGCAGUUGACGGACCUGUGGUGGAAACUUAGUCCAAAGAAGUGAUCGAUCGAACUUUUUUUUUUUUUUUUUUUUCGUCCGUCCCUCGUCGAGACCUUGUUGCCUCACCCAUGUAGCUUAAUUCACUUACUUUCUGAAUGAAACGGGUAGCGCGCUACCUUUCUCUCAAAAAAAAACAUUGGAUCUAAUUUGUUUUGUCUAUAAAUCACAUUAUUCCUUUUUCACCGGAUUAGCCACCGGCUUGCUGUUAAAAUGCUCAGUCUCUAUGCAGCGGAUUGAGCAGGUCCAUCAUACUUGUCCAUUCUUAUGAGACUUUGAAAUCCGUCACACUCGUUAUAUCAAAACUACCAUCAGGAAUAAUACAAGUAUGAACCGACAAUAUAUACGUACAAUCUAUGAAAAAGUGAAUGGUUAUUAUCUCAAUUUUAACUCUAUUAAAAACACAAGUCUAGUUUUCCAACCAUCCUUUUUUUUAUCAGAGUGUCUAUUGUAAGUAUGCGCUUUUUAAGUGCAAGCCAUAAGAAAACCUCGUUCUCUCUUUUUUUUUUGUGUAAAUGCGCAUAUACGCGUACUCUAAAUUAUCAUUUAUAUUGCUUAUUUGAUUCUUCUCGGCCGAAAUUUUAAAUUUUAAUCUUUAAAUUGGCAUUGUCAAAGAGUCAGGAAUAUAUAAAUAUUUCUAAAUCUAUCUUUGAAUGAAUUGCUUAUACUUAGAAACAGUAAUUGCUUAUUUCUUAAAAAGAGAUUUAAAAUUUGUUCAUAAUAUGAAUCCGAACAUAAUAAUAAAUCCAAAUAAAUUUUCUAAUUUAAAACUUUUACUUUUGCUAUUAAAGAUUACAUUAAUACAAAUCUAAUUUGAUAUGUUUUGAAUUUUUAAUUUAGAGAGCCGGAACGGUCUCCCGGUCUUCCAACGUGCUUUCUUCUCCUUCCCCUCCCCCCUCUCUCUCUCUCUCUCUCUCUCUCUCUCUCUCCUCGCAAUUGACCCAAAAAAAACCAAAACAAAGGGAAAAAACAGAGCAUAGUUUCUUCGAAAUUAAUAGAUCGGCAUCUCGAGAUUUCCCAGAUUGAUCCGUUCAUGGCGACGACGCAGUUGUACGGAUCGGUGGUGGCGCCGAGGAGGAGCAUCGUGCCUUGUAAUGGCGUUCGCUUCUCGCCCUUGUCGUCUAGGGUUUCGUCCCACAUCUCUGCGGGGUUCGGGGGGACGUUCUCUCUCGGCCUCGUCAUUAAGAACCCGAUCUUUGUCGCCUCAAAGGUUUCGCACCGAUUUGUUACAGUUUGAUACUAUCCAUGCUGCUUGAUCUUGUUUGCUUCAGUUUUUACUUUAAUUUUGUUUUUUUUUUUUUAAUUUUGACUGGCCACGAAAAUGGCGUCGUCGAAACCCUAAAACUAAUAGCUUCAGGGUCUUAGUCGGGCCAUCAAAGGGGUGAGGAACAAUUUAAAGAGGCAUUCGUCUUGAAAAUGAGAUCCAUAUCUUAAUCACGGUGCAUAUAUAUCAUACGGUUUCUUUCAUAAACCCUAAUUGUGGAUUAUUCCAGGACAAUGCGCUAUGUGUUUCAGUGAAACAAAUGCUUCUACUCACCUACUACUGCUAGCAUGCAUAAUGAUGAUGUCCUUUUGCGUCUCACUGAUUCAAUGCAAUUGAAAAAGAUCGAUUUGAAGGUGAUUUCCUUGGUUAUGUGGUGUUUGGCCUCUUAGAUAUGCAAAUAGCUAGUUUGUGUAGUAUUAGAGUUUAACGACUAUACAAAGAGACAAUGGCAUAAAAAGCAUGCUAAGAGUAAUUCUAUAGUCAUUGUGAUGAAGAUGUUUCCUCUAACAGUAAGGAAUAUAGCCUUUAUUUUUGAUUUUUAUGUAGUUUACUCUAAAUAGUUAGGAACAUACGUCAUCUACGUAUCCUUUAUUACAUCAUCCUCGUCAAGCACUGGGUAUGAUGUCUGAGAUUGUGUUUGGGGAAUGCGUUUAAUCAACUUUUGCUUGUCCCAUGCGAUGAUGUUAGUUAUGCCGACGAUCACUUCUUUCACUGAACAGGGAUUAGGAUUCGAGAGGAAAGCAAUAAAAGGUGUAUCUUGCUUCAUGCAUCACGGAAAUAUACCAGUGGUGUCUUAUUGAGUCCUAAUUUGUUAUUUAUGUGCUUUUUUAUUGCAGCCAUCAAUUUCAAUGUCUGUAAAGGGAAAUAGUAUGAGAGCUCCUGGUUUUGUAGCUAAUACUGCUAUAAGGUACACAGAUGACCAAACUCAGGAGCCCAUGGAGUCUAAUUUAACUGUGGAGCCAGUUGAUGAAAACACAAAGAUGGAUAAAGAGGUGGCUCUUCNAAAAAAAAAAAAAAAAAAACUAACUAUUUCCAGCUAUUACAGAAGCUCGUUUCCUCCUCGGUGCGGCUUUGAACGAACUAGACCUACUAAUGUGAAUCUUAAACAUGGUCGGGCCCACUUGCGCAUUACAAAUAGGUACAAAAUAAUAAUAAAAAAUAAUAAUAAUAUUUUUUUUUCGUAAAACUAAUAUUUUUAAAGUUAUUUAAUAAAUUUAUUUAUCCAUCUUAAAAUUAUUUUUAUUAAAAAUCCUCUUAUGCAUAGUUAUAAACCAAUUUUUUUACUUUCUCUUCCUAACUUUCAAAAUUCGGUAUUUACAUUCUCAAUAUCUCAAGUUGUUACAUUUAGGUCCCGUCGUCAUGGUUCCAUCAUUAUUUUGUUAAUUUUUUAUAAUUUAUACUAAAAAUAUGUUUAAAAACAACAAAAAUAAAUUAAAAAAUAAUUUUUUUAUAAAAGAAGUAAGAAUAAAUUAAUUAUUUUGCCCUUUCUAUUAACGUCGUAUUUCUUUGAAAAUUUUUCUGAAAUUUUAAGAUUGCAAAAUAUAAAAUUUUAAAAAUCAGAGAGAAAAAGUGUGUAAUUUAGCCUAUUAAUAAAAUCGGGCACAAUCAAUUGUCCAAAGUUUAAACUAUAAAUUUAGGCCCCGUUUCUUAUUGGAUGUAUGAUUAAAAUUAGAAUUAUUAAUCUCUCGUGAUAAGCUAAUGCAAAAAUGGUAUUGGCUCUUUAUGUUUCACAAGAAAUAAAAAGUUAGUUUUUUUUUUAAAUUUUUACUAUAAUAAUCUCUCUAAAAGCUUUUACUGUAUAACAGUUAGAAAGUUCAUAUGUUCCAACUUUACAUCACAUGAAAAAAAAAAAAAAAAGAAAAAAAAGAGAGGCCUUUUUGAAGAGAUUCUUCAUUCUCAAUGGCAAACUUACAAGUAAAUUAGGACAUUAUUAGUGGAGAAUAUAUUGUGCAAAUGUGGAUGCUUUGUUGGUUGGCACCAGAAGUGCACGUCAAUUGCAUGGUCAAUCUCAACCCCACAUGGGUGGCCAUAUUUGAUAGGCUCCAAUAAUCAUUAAUUUAAGGCUAAAUUACAGAAAAAUCCUCUGUAAUAAUCUGCUUUUUUACUUUCCCCUCCUGACAUUUAAAAACCUACACUUUGCCUCCCUGUAAAAUGAAAAAUGUUCACAGGAGGGUUACGGUGUGUAAAAUGACCAUUUUGCCCCUCGCCAUUGUCGUCUUCUUUCCCAUCUUCUCCAGCCGCCCCUUCGUUCGGCCGCGAUUCCUACCUCAAUCGACCACGAUUUCUCUCCAUUUCCUUCUCCACAUGCUCCCCUUCUUCUCCUACACCCUUGCCGUCCUCGAUUUCGGCGACAGUAGGAGAAAAUCGAGAUAGACGACAGUAAAAGAAGGGCAAAGAGGGUGAAGGCGAGGCGGCGAAGGAUGGCGAAGGGGAUGUGGGUGAGGGCGAGGCAGUGGAGGACGGCGAGGCGGCGAGGCGGCGGCGAGGUGGCGAGCCGGAGGGAGGCGAAGCAACAAGGAGAUGGCGGAGGGGUAUUUUCGGCAUAAAAAUAUUUUUUUUAACGGAUCCCUAACGGAACCCUAACGGUAGGGGGUGAAGUGCAGACUUUUUAUUUUACAGGGGGGCAAAAUGUAGGUUUUUAAAUGUCAGGGAGGGAAAGUGAAAAAUCGGAUUAUUAUAAGGGGGUUUUCUGUAAUUAAGCCUUAAUUUAAUGGUUGAUUCGUUGAG
RNAcentral lists this long non-coding RNA (36121 nucleotides) under Ananas comosus (pineapple). RNAcentral's name for it is "long non-coding RNA (ACOM_LNC011153)". The record is from RNAcentral. Lineage: Eukaryota; Viridiplantae; Streptophyta; Magnoliopsida; Poales; Bromeliaceae.